RNAcentral lists this ribosomal RNA (484 nucleotides) under uncultured bacterium. RNAcentral's name for it is "partial 16S ribosomal RNA". It matches the Rfam family "Bacterial small subunit ribosomal RNA", at positions 30 to 507 of the family's 1533-position model. The record is from RNAcentral.
AUUGAACGCUGGCGGCAGGCCUAACACAUGCAAGUCGAGCGGCUGACGGGAGCUUUCCCCUGGAUUCAUCGGCGGACGGGUGAGUAAUGCCUAGGAAUCUGCCUGGUAGUGGGGGAUAACGUCCGGAAACGGGCGCUAAUACCGCAUACGUCCUGAGGGAGAAAGUGGGGGAUCUUCGGACCUCACGCUAUCAGAUGAGCCUAGGUCGGAUUAGCUAGUUGGUGGGGUAAAGGCCUACCAAGGCGACGAUCCGUAACUGGUCUGAGAGGAUGAUCAGUCACACUGGAACUGAGACACGGUCCAGACUCCUACGGGAGGCAGCAGUGGGGAAUAUUGGACAAUGGGCGAAAGCCUGAUCCAGCCAUGCCGCGUGUGUGAAGAAGGUCUUCGGAUUGUAAAGCACUUUAAGUUGGGAGGAAGGGCAGUAAGUUAAUACCUUGCUGUUUUGACGGUACCAACAGAAUAAGCACCGGCUAACUUCGUG